GGGGGUGUUCCGGAUUCGAUCCUGGGUUGGAGCGCGCAGCUGCCUGUCGAGAGCCGAAGGCCUCUCGUAAAUCCCCCUUCGAAACAAACAAACGGCAAUAACGAAGAAAUGCUAAUGGCUGCCUAAGUGCAGACACGUUCCCACUUUGACUCCUGCUAGGGGAUGGGAACGUCGACAGCAGGAAUAGCGGUGAGGGCCGUCAUGACCUCGCCGCCGUAUCUUCAACCAUGGCUGGCCGGGAGGGAAGCGCGCGUCCACGCGUCCCUUGAGGCGAGAUCCAAACCGACGCUAUGCAGGUAGAUGCUGUGCGUGAAGGCCCGGGACACAGGGGUUCAACUCCCCUCACCUCCACCA
This 354-nucleotide transfer-messenger RNA is filed under the name Opitutaceae. Its description in RNAcentral is "Lacunisphaera sp016795565 Standard tmRNA". It matches the Rfam family "transfer-messenger RNA". From Rfam's summary of the family: Bacterial tmRNA, also known as 10Sa RNA or SsrA, is named for its dual tRNA and mRNA-like properties. Its role is to liberate the mRNA from a stalled ribosome. RNAcentral also lists the same sequence under 1 other name. Lineage: Bacteria; Pseudomonadati; Verrucomicrobiota; Opitutia; Opitutales. The record is from RNAcentral.